UUUUUUAGCCAACAGCCGCUUGCAAGCGCUUCAGUCUAUAAGCGACAACGUGUACGAGCGGUCGCGUUCUUAUUCUUUUGCCCGCUAAUAACUAACCAACACUAACAAAUAGCCAAGCAAAGUUUGAAGAGUAGUAGUCAAGCAAAAACGCAGCUUCUGAAAAUUGCCAUUAAAACAAAAUUUUCGAGAGUAUAAAAAUUCGCGCGCUUAUUUUGAAAAAUAUCAGCGCUUCAAUUAAACAAAUUUUAUGUGCCGAGUGACUAAACGCGCUGCAAAUAAUUCUAGAUCAGCUGUUAAAUAAAUGUUGAUCAUAAAGCGGUCAGCUGUGUCAAUCAACUGCCCAUCCAACCGGUCAGUUAGUUCAAAAAAGCCCGUUUACCGUAGUAGCGCCGCUUAGUUUUCCAACGCGUGUCAAACAAAUUAGCGAAGCUGCCUUAUCUAGUUAAACGCUCUUUGCUGCAGCGCCGAUAUUUGUGCAAACGCUUUGCGAAAGAGGUGAAAAGCGGCAAGCUCAUUAGCGAAAAUUACGCAAGUAAACAAAUAAACAAGCGCGCGUCUGUGUGAGGGUCAACCAUAAACCCACACGCAGAUAGGCAAAUCACCACACCGACCUACCCAAAUUGCUUGCUCUAGACUGUCGCUGCUUUACAGCCGCUUUCCUAUUUCCGCUGCCGCUUUGCAAAAAUAUUCAAACAAUAUUUAAAGUGUCGGAAACGCCAUUUCCUACGAAAGCCCAGGCAUACAUUUUCCAACGCCACUCGCCAACGGAAACGGUAAAUUCUGCUUUCGCCGUUGUUACUUGUGGUGGUGGCCCAUUGUUUGGAGUCCGACUUUAAGCCAAGCUUUUUGCUUACAACUCGCGUACGCGCUUCGCCAUCGCGUUCAGUGUUUGUGCGUCGCUGUCUGCGUUUAGUUUCUUUCUAUACGCCUCUCUCCCCGCAUACUGACUGUAGCGUGGUCGCGUUUCGCCAGGUUGAACAGGAUAAAUUUAUCUCUCAAAAAAAGUGUUAAAUCGUUUUACGGAAAUACUGAGCGAAAACUUAGUUGGAAAUACAAAUAAUUUUGUGUCCAAGCAUUGUUGAAGUGUUCAUGUGAAAUUAGAGAAAGCGAAAAGUAAGAAAGUGAUUUUGAAAAAUACUCGUAAUUGUUCAAAGUUAAAGGCGAAGAAUUUUUUGAAGUCAAACUCAUCACUUGAGUGCUGGCAGCGCGUCCGAGAGUGUUGAAGAGAAAGUGAAGUGAAUUUUAUAGGUGUCGCAUACCUUUUAUUUAAUACCUGCUAAAAACAAAGCUGCAUACAUAUGUACGAGUGCCUCGCUGGUUUCGGUGCCCUUCAAAAACAAUAAAAACAAAGGAAUGACUGCCACACUCUCUUCAACCACUGCAUAGAUAGGUAUACCUAGCGUCCUCUGUUUUCUAUUGCAGAUUUAUGCGCUUAAUUAAAUUGCGUGGAAAAUAAAAAAGAAAAACUCGUGAAAACGUUUGAGCGGAAUAGCAGCAAUAAGCAGCUUAAAUUCAAAUAAAAUAGUGACUAACAUUAAUUUGGUAAAACAUAAAAAAUAGCUAACAAAACGAAUCAAAGUAAGUGACUAACAAAAAAAAAUUAUAAGAAGUACAUUUUCGGGAGUACGUACAUACAUAAAUAAAUAAAAUCUUGUGAAAUUUAAAACUGUUAAUAGAAAUUCGUUGUUUUCCAAUUCCUAAGCGUCUACAUAGCAUACUUUUUAAAUAGUGUUGAAAAAUUUUU
This is a long non-coding RNA of Rhagoletis zephyria (snowberry fruit fly), 1744 nucleotides long. RefSeq lists it as uncharacterized. The record is from RefSeq and is a predicted model, not a curated record. NCBI's taxonomy places the organism in Eukaryota, Metazoa, Arthropoda, Insecta, Diptera, Tephritidae.